UUUAAAUUUAGAGUUUGAUCCUGGCUCAGGACGAACGCUGGCGGCGUGCUUAACACAUGCAAGUCGAGCGAUGAAGCUUCCUUCGGGGAGUGGAUUAGCGGCGGACGGGUGAGUAACACGUGGGUAACCUGCCUCAAAGUGGGGGAUAGCCUUCCGAAAGGAAGAUUAAUACCGCAUAAUAUAAGAGAAUCGCAUGAUUUUCUUAUCAAAGAUUUAUUGCUUUGAGAUGGACCCGCGGCGCAUUAGCUAGUUGGUAAGGUAACGGCUUACCAAGGCAACGAUGCGUAGCCGACCUGAGAGGGUGAUCGGCCACAUUGGAACUGAGACAC
This 329-nucleotide ribosomal RNA is filed under the name Clostridium botulinum. Its description in RNAcentral is "bacterial SSU rRNA". It matches the Rfam family "Bacterial small subunit ribosomal RNA", at positions 1 to 327 of the family's 1533-position model. Lineage: Bacteria; Bacillati; Bacillota; Clostridia; Eubacteriales; Clostridiaceae. The record is from RNAcentral.